AGUGAAUAGAUACCCAGGUAGUCCUGGCCUUAAACGAUGUAUACUGGGUGUGGGAGAUUCAUUUCUUCCGUGCCGACGGCAAACCCAUUAAGUAUACCGCCUGGGGACUACGAUCGCAAGAUUGAAACUCAAAGAAAUUGACGGGGAUCCGCACAAGUGGUGGAGCAUGUGGUUUAAUUCGACGCUACGCGAAGAACCUUACCUGGGCUUGACAUACAUGUGUAAGACUUAUGAAAGUAGGUCCCUCUGCCAGCAAUGGUAGACGCAUGAACAGGUGUUGCAUGGUUGUCGUCAGCUCGUGCCGUGAGGUGUUGGGUUAAGUCCUCUAACGAGCGCAACCCCGUAUUGCCAGUUGCCAUCAUUAAGUUGGGAACUCUGGCGAGUCUGCCCGGGGUAUAACCGGGUAGGAAGGCGGGGAUGACGUCAAAUCAUCAUGGCCCUUAUGUCCAGGGUCGACACACGUGCUACAAUGGCAUAUACAAA
This 483-nucleotide ribosomal RNA is filed under the name uncultured bacterium. RNAcentral's name for it is "bacterial SSU rRNA". It matches the Rfam family "Bacterial small subunit ribosomal RNA", at positions 773 to 1243 of the family's 1533-position model. The record is from RNAcentral.